GCAACCCUUGCUGUAUGUUACAAGUGUCAUACGGGACUGCCGGUAUCAAGCCGGAGGAGGUGGGAUGACGUACAAGUCAGCAUCGGUCCUUUAUACUCCGGGGCUACACACACGCUACAAUGGUCAGUACAAUAGGUUGCAAAGCCGCGAGGUGGAGCCAAUCCCAAAGCUGGCCUCAGUUCAGAUUGCAGGCUGCCAACCCGCCUGCAUGAAGUUGGAGUUGCUAGUAACCGCGCGUCAGCCAUAGUGCGGUGAAUACGUUCCCGGGCCUU
This 272-nucleotide ribosomal RNA is filed under the name uncultured Anaerolineaceae bacterium. Its description in RNAcentral is "partial 16S ribosomal RNA". It matches the Rfam family "Bacterial small subunit ribosomal RNA", at positions 1098 to 1382 of the family's 1533-position model. Lineage: Bacteria; Bacillati; Chloroflexota; Anaerolineae; Anaerolineales; Anaerolineaceae. The record is from RNAcentral.